UACGUAGGGGGCUAGCGUUGUCCGGAAUCAUUGGGCGUAAAGCGCGUGUAGGCGGUCCGGUAAGUCCGCUGUGAAAGUCGAGGGCUCAACCCUCGAAUGCCGGUGGAUACUGUCGGGCUUGAGUACGGGAGAGGCGAGUGGAAUUCCCGGUGUAGUGGUGGAAUGCGUAGAUAUCGGGAGGAACACCAGUGGCGAAGGCGGUUGCCUGGGGCUUUGCUGACGCUGAGGCGCGAAAGCUAGGGGAGCGAACGGG
Molecule: ribosomal RNA, 253 nt
Filed under: uncultured bacterium
Lineage: Bacteria
Description: partial 16S ribosomal RNA
Rfam family: Bacterial small subunit ribosomal RNA
Source: RNAcentral